This 55-nucleotide transfer RNA is filed under the name Trichuris suis (pig whipworm). RNAcentral's name for it is "tRNA-Ala". The record is from RNAcentral. Lineage: Eukaryota; Metazoa; Nematoda; Enoplea; Trichinellida; Trichuridae.
GGGUUUAUGUUGUAAUUUUGCAUUUCUCUUUUGCAGGGAGAAAGUUUAUGAUCCA